CAUGCAAGUCGAACGGAAAUCUUUUAGAUUUUAGUGGCGAACGGGUGAGUAACACGUAAGCAACCUGCCUUUAAGACGAGAAUAACAAUUGGAAACAGUUGCUAAGGCUGGAUAGGAAAUAAAAAGGAAUCUUUUUAUUUUUAAAAGACCUUUUUCGGAAGGUAUGCUUAAAGAGGGGCUUGCGUCACAUUAGUUAGUUGGUAGGGUAAAGGCCUACCAAGACGAUGAUGUGUAGCUGGACUGAGAGGUUGAACAGCCACAUUGGGACUGAGACACGGCCCAAACUCCUACGGGAGGCAGCAGUAGGGAAUUUUCGGCAAUGGAGGAAACUCUGACCGAGCAACGCCGCGUGAACGACGAAGUACUUCGGUAUGUAAAGUUCUUUUAUUGAAGAAGAAACAAUAGUGGAAAAACUAUCUUGACGUUAUUCAAUGAAUAAGCCCCGGCUAACUAUGUGCCAGCAGCCGCGGUAAUACAUAGGGGGCGAGCGUUAUCCGGAAUUAUUGGGCGUAAAGGGUGCGUAGGCGGUUUAAUAAGUCUCUAGUUUAAUUUCAACGCUUAACGUUGUCCUGCUAGAGAAACUGUUUAACUAGAGUGAGAUAGAGGUAAGCGGAAUUCCAUGUGUAGCGGUAAAAUGUGUAAAUAUAUGGAGGAACACCAGAGGCGUAGGCGGCUUACUGGGUCUUUACUGACGCUGAUGCACGAAAGCGUGGGGAGCAAACAGGAUUAGAUACCCUGGUAGUCCACGCCGUAAACUAUGAGUACUAAGUGUCGGGGUUAAACUCGGUACUGAAGUUAACACAUUAAGUACUCCGCCUGAGUAGUACGUACGCAAGUAUGAAACUUAAAGGAAUUGACGGGAUCCCGCACAAGCGGUGGAUCAUGUUGUUUAAUUCGAAGAUACACGAAAAACCUUACCAGGUCUUGACAUACUCUGCAAAGCUAUAGAAAUAUAGUGGAGGUUAUCAGGGAUACAGGUGGUGCAUGGUUGUCGUCAGCUCGUGUCGUGAGAUGUUAGGUUAAGUUCUAAAACGAGCGCAACCCCUGUCGUUAAUUGCCAGCACGUUAUGGUGGGGACUUUAGCGAGACUGCCAAUGAAAAAUUGGAGGAAGGUGGGGAUUACGUCAAAUCAUCAUGCCCCUUAUGAUCUGGGCUACAAACGUGAUACAAUGGCUAUUACAAAGAGUAGCUGAAACGCGAGUUUUCGGCAAAUCUCAAAAAAAUAGUCUCAGUUCGGAUUGAAGUCUGCAACUCGACUUCAUGAAGUUGGAAUCGCUAGUAAUCGCGAAUCAGCAUGUCGCGGUGAAUACGUUCUCGGGGUUUGUACACACCGCCCGUCAAACCACGAAAGUGGACAAUACCCGAAAGCGACAGCCUAACUGCGUAAGC
RNAcentral lists this ribosomal RNA (1389 nucleotides) under Coconut lethal yellowing phytoplasma. Its description in RNAcentral is "bacterial SSU rRNA". It matches the Rfam family "Bacterial small subunit ribosomal RNA". RNAcentral also lists the same sequence under 1 other name. Lineage: Bacteria; Bacillati; Mycoplasmatota; Mollicutes; Acholeplasmatales; Acholeplasmataceae. The record is from RNAcentral.